RNAcentral lists this ribosomal RNA (395 nucleotides) under uncultured bacterium. RNAcentral describes it as "partial 16S ribosomal RNA". It matches the Rfam family "Bacterial small subunit ribosomal RNA", at positions 523 to 918 of the family's 1533-position model. The record is from RNAcentral.
AUACGAAGGGUGCAAGCGUUAAUCGGAAUUACUGGGCGUAAAGCGCGCGUAGGUGGUUCGUUAAGUUGGAUGUGAAAGCCCCGGGCUCAACCUGGGAACUGCAUCCAAAACUGGCGAGCUAGAGUAUAGCAGAGGGUGGUGGAAUUUCCUGUGUAGCGGUGAAAUGCGUAGAUAUAGGAAGGAACACCAGUGGCGAAGGCGACCACCUGGGCUAAUACUGACACUGAGGUGCGAAAGCGUGGGGAGCAAACAGGAUUAGAUACCCGGGUAGUCCACGCCGUAAACGAUGUCGACUAGCCGUUGGGAUCCUUGAGAUCUUAGUGGCGCAGCUAACGCAUUAAGUCGACCGCCUGGGAGUACGGCCGCAAGGUUAAAACUCAAAUGAAUUGGCGGGG